RNAcentral lists this ribosomal RNA (500 nucleotides) under uncultured bacterium. RNAcentral's name for it is "partial 16S ribosomal RNA". It matches the Rfam family "Bacterial small subunit ribosomal RNA", at positions 30 to 523 of the family's 1533-position model. The record is from RNAcentral.
AUUGAACGCUGGCGGCAUGCCUUACACAUGCAAGUCGAACGGUAACGGGUCCUUCGGGAUGCCGACGAGUGGCGAACGGGUGAGUAAUAUAUCGGAACGUGCCCAGUAGUGGGGGAUAACUGCUCGAAAGAGCAGCUAAUACCGCAUACGACCUGAGGGUGAAAGGGGGGGAUCGCAAGACCUCUCGCUAUUGGAGCGGCCGAUAUCAGAUUAGCUAGGUGGUGGGGAAAAGGCCUACCAAGGCAACGAUCUGUAGUUGGUAUGAGAAGACGACCAGCCACACUGUAACUGAGACACGGCCCAGACUCCUACGGGAGGCAGCAGUGGGGAAUUCUGGACAAUGGGCGCAAGCCUGAUCCAGCAAUGCCGCGUGCAGGAAGAAGGCCUUCGGGUUGUAAACUGCUUUUGUCAGGGAAGAAAUCUUCUGGGCUAAUACCCCGGGAGGAUGACGGUACCUGAAGAAUAAGCACCGGCUAACUACGUGCCAGCCGCCGCCGUAA